GACGAACGCUGGCGGCGUGCUUAACACAUGCAAGUCGAACGGAAAGGCCCUUCGGGGUACUCGAGUGGCGAACGGGUGAGUAACACGUGGGUGAUCUGCCCUGCACUUUGGGAUAAGCCUGGGAAACUGGGUCUAAUACCGAAUAGGACCACGCGCUUCAUGGUGUGUGGUGGAAAGCUUUUGCGGUGUGGGAUGGGCCCGCGGCCUAUCAGCUUGUUGGUGGGGUAAUGGCCUACCAAGGCGACGACGGGUAGCCGGCCUGAGAGGGUGACCGGCCACACUGGGACUGAGAUACGGCCCAGACUCCUACGGGAGGCAGCAGUGGGGAAUAUUGCACAAUGGGCGCAAGCCUGAUGCAGCGACGCCGCGUGAGGGAUGACGGCCUUCGGGUUGUAAACCUCUUUCAAUAGGGACGAAGCGCAAGUGACGGUACCUAAAGAAGAAGCACCGGCCAACUACGUG
This 462-nucleotide ribosomal RNA is filed under the name uncultured bacterium. RNAcentral's name for it is "partial 16S ribosomal RNA". It matches the Rfam family "Bacterial small subunit ribosomal RNA", at positions 28 to 507 of the family's 1533-position model. The record is from RNAcentral.